UCAGUUGAUUAUUUUGCCUGCAGGUGCUGACAGUGUGUCCACAGUGAACUGGGUGUCUGCAUGGAGAGGAGGGUCUGUCACCAUCCCAUGUUUCUAUGGUGACAGAUAUAAAACUCAUGUGAAAUACUGGUGCAGAGGGAGAGAAUGGAGUUCAUGUACUCCCAUAGUACACAGUGACUCUCCACAGGAGGGUAACGUGUCAGUCAGAGAUGAUCCUGACCAGCGAGUCUUCACUCUGACCAUCAACAAUCUGACAGCUGGGGACUCUGGUUAUUACUCCUGUGGUCUGAAGGUCAAUGGACGUUCAGAAUCUGGAACUUGGGUUGAACUGUCAGUCACUGAUGGUGUGUCCACAGUGAAAGCCGUGUCUCUACAGGGAGGAGGAUCUGUCACCAUCCCAUGUUUCUAUGAGGACAGAUAUAAAACUCAUGUGAAAUACUGGUGCAGAGAGUACUCCCGUAGUACACAGUGACUCUCCACAGGAGGCUAAAGUGUUAAUCAGAGGUGAUCCUGACCAGCGAAUCUUCACUGUGACCAUCAACAAUCUGACAGUUUGGGAUUCUGAUGAGUACUCAUGUGGUGUGAAGAUCAGUGGACGUUCAGAUGCUGAAGCAUCACUUUACCUGUCAGUCACUGAUGAUUCCACAUGGCUGUCAGUGGACAAACAGGAGGUGACGGGUGUGGAAGGAGACAGUGUCAGUGUUCAGUGUCGCUAUGGAAACAGUAACAGUCUGAAACUGUGGUGUAAGAUCGGGGGCUCCUGUGUGUCAGAGAGAUCUGGGAGUUUGGAUGGGAGGCCUGUCCUGAUCAGGGAUGACAGAGUAAAUAAAGUCUUCAGUGUGACAAUGGGGGGACUGGAGAGGAAGGACACUGGCUGGUACUGGUGUGCUGACAGAGACCAUCAGAUCCCAGUUCAUAUUACUGUCAAUCAGACAACUACAACCACAACCAGCA
Molecule: non-coding RNA, 954 nt
Organism: Paramormyrops kingsleyae
Lineage: Eukaryota; Metazoa; Chordata; Actinopteri; Osteoglossiformes; Mormyridae
Source: RefSeq, a predicted model, not a curated record